RNAcentral lists this ribosomal RNA (446 nucleotides) under uncultured bacterium. RNAcentral's name for it is "partial 16S ribosomal RNA". It matches the Rfam family "Bacterial small subunit ribosomal RNA", at positions 338 to 795 of the family's 1533-position model. The record is from RNAcentral.
CCUACGGGAGGCAGCAGUCGAGAAUCAUUCACAAUGGGGGAAACCCUGAUGGUGAGAAGACGCGUGGGGGAAGGAAGGGCGGCGGAUGGUAAACCCCUGGCAUGUGGGAGCAAAUUAAAAAGAUAGUACCACAAGAGGAAGAGACGGCUAACUCUGUGCCAGCAGCCGCGGUAAUACAGAGGUCUCAAGCGUUGUUCGGAAGCACUGGGCGUAAAGCGUGCGUAGGCUGUUUCGUAAGUCGGGUGUGAAAGGCGCGGGCUCAACCCGCGGACGGCACAUGAUACUGCGAGACUAGAGUAAGGGAGGGGGAACCGGAAUUCUCGGGGUAGCAGUGAAAUGCGUAGAUAUCGAGAGGAACACUCGUGGCGAAGGUGGGUUCCUGGACAUUAACUGACGCUGAGGCACGAAGGCCAGGGGAGCGAAAGGGAUUAGAUACCCUAGUAGUC